RNAcentral lists this ribosomal RNA (577 nucleotides) under Neonectria sp. O_3_BESC_246j. RNAcentral describes it as "eukaryotic LSU rRNA". It matches the Rfam family "Eukaryotic large subunit ribosomal RNA", at positions 1 to 589 of the family's 3401-position model. Lineage: Eukaryota; Fungi; Ascomycota; Sordariomycetes; Hypocreales; Nectriaceae. The record is from RNAcentral.
ACCUCGGAUCAGGUAGGAAUACCCGCUGAACUUAAGCAUAUCAAUAAGCGGAGGAAAAGAAACCAACAGGGAUUGCCCUAGUAACGGCGAGUGAAGCGGCAACAGCUCAAAUUUGAAAUCUGGCCCUCGGGUCCGAAUUGUAAUUUGUAGAGGAUGCUUUUGGUGAGGUACCUUCCGAGUUCCCUGGAACGGGACGCCAUAGAGGGUGAGAGCCCCGUCUGGUUGGAUACCGAUCCUCUGUAAAGCUCCUUCGACGAGUCGAGUAGUUUGGGAANUGCUGCUCUAAAUGGGAGGUAUAUGUCUUCUAAAGCUAAAUAUUGGNCCAGAGACCGAUAGCGCACAAGUAGAGUGAUCGAAAGAUGAAAAGCACUUUGAAAAGAGAGUUAAAAAGUACGUGAAAUUGUUGAAAGGGAAGCGCUCAUGACCAGACUUGGGCUUGGUUGAUCAUCCAGGGUUCUCCCUGGUGCACUCUUCCAGCCCAGGCCAGCAUCAGUUCGCUGUGGGGGAUAAAGGCUUUGGGAAUGUGGCUCCUCCGGGAGUGUUAUAGCCCAUUGUGUAAUACCCUGUGGUGGACUGA